Poecilia reticulata (guppy) is the source of this 948-nucleotide non-coding RNA. NCBI's taxonomy places the organism in Eukaryota, Metazoa, Chordata, Actinopteri, Cyprinodontiformes, Poeciliidae. The record is from Ensembl.
UAAAAGCUUGGUCCUGACUUUACUAUCAGCUUUAGCAACACUUACACAUGCAAGUAUCCGCACCCCGGUGAAUACGUCCCCGCCUUCCUCUAUGAAGGCUAGGAACUGGUAUCAGGCACGCAAAUCAGCAGCCCACGACACCUUGCUCAGCCACACCCCCAAGGGAUUUCAGCAGUGAUAAACAUUAAGCAAUAAGUGAAAACUUGACUUAGUCUAAGGCUAAAAGAGCCGGUCAAAUUCGUGCCAGCCACCGCGGUUAUACGAAAGGCUCAAGUUGAUAAUCUUCGGCGUAAAGAGUGGUUAAAAGACAUCUUAAACUAAGGCUGAACCACCCCAAAGCUGUCAUACGCUACUGGGAGUGUGAAAUACAACCACGAAGGUGGCCUUAAAUAAUCUUGACCCCACGAAAGCUGUGAAACAAACUGGGAUUAGAUACCCCACUAUGCACCGCCGUAAACCUUGAUAGAAAACCACAACCCCUAUCCGCCCGGGGACUACGAGCAUAAGCUUAAAACCCAAAGGACUUGGCGGUGCUUUAGACCCCCCUAGAGGAGCCUGUUCUAGAACCGAUAACCCCCGUUCGACCUCACCUUUUCUUGUUCAUUCCGUCUAUAUACCGCCGUCGUCAGCAUACCCUGUGAAGGAAACAUAGUAAGCAAAACUGGUAAAACCCAAAACGCCAGGUCGAGGUGUAGCACACGAAAAGGAAAGAAAUGGGCUACAUUUCCUAAUUUAGGAAAAACGAAUUGUGUUAUGAAACAGCACAUGAAGGAGGAUUUAGCAGUAAGAAGAAAACAGAGUGUUCUACUGAACCCGGCCCUGAAGCACGCACACACCGCCCGUCACCCUCCCCAAAUCAAAAUACAUCUUUAUUUAAAAAUUUACCAGAGCCAAAGGGGAGGUAAGUCGUAACAUGGUAAGUGUACCGGAAGGUGCACUUGGAAUAAA